GACGAACGCUGGCGGCGUGCCUAAUACAUGCAAGUAGAACGCUGAAGGAGGAGCUUGCUCUUCUGGAUGAGUUGCGAACGGGUGAGUAACGCGUAGGUAACCUGCCUGGUAGCGGGGGAUAACUAUUGGAAACGAUAGCUAAUACCGCAUAACAGUAGAUGUUGCAUGACAUUUGCUUAAAAGGUGCAAUUGCACCACUACCAGAUGGACCUGCGUUGUAUUAGCUAGUUGGUGGGGUAACGGCUCACCAAGGCGACGAUACAUAGCCGACCUGAGAGGGUGAUCAGCCACACUGGGACUGAGACACGGCCCAGACUCCUACGGGAGGCAGCAGUAGGGAAUCUUCGGCAAUGGACGGAAGUCUGACCGAGCAACGCCGCGUGAGUGAAGAAGGUUGUCGGAUCGUAAAGCUCUGUUGUAAGAGAAGAACGAGUGUGAGAGUGGAAAGUUCACACUGUGACGGUAUCUGACCAGAAAGGGACGGCUAACUACGUG
Molecule: ribosomal RNA, 495 nt
Filed under: uncultured bacterium
Lineage: Bacteria
Description: partial 16S ribosomal RNA
Rfam family: Bacterial small subunit ribosomal RNA
Source: RNAcentral